RNAcentral lists this unclassified non-coding RNA (343 nucleotides) under Hevea brasiliensis (rubber tree). Lineage: Eukaryota; Viridiplantae; Streptophyta; Magnoliopsida; Malpighiales; Euphorbiaceae. The record is from RNAcentral.
AAAGGAUUACAAAGGAAAUCGGGCAACGUAUCAAAUAUAAGCAAACCCAGCGGAAGGCUCACACUGCUUGCAGACACUUGGACAACUCAUAAUGCGCAGAAAGUUGAUGGCUCCGCUGAAGUUUCCACAGUAUGACAAGUCGUCCAUCUUUUCUUACAGCAACAAUUUCAAAAAUUUAAUUCUUCAUAAAUGAUCUCAUAAUUUUUUUCUACCCCACAUCGUCUUUCAGACAGUUUGUUUAACUAGUGAAGAAAGUUCAGAUAGUAACACAAGGCAACUACCAAUUAAUCUAAUAGCUCAUCCGCUGGUGCAGAACAAGAGAGAUUAGAUUCGCUGUAUAGAG